Molecule: non-coding RNA, 6066 nt
Organism: Equus caballus (horse)
Lineage: Eukaryota; Metazoa; Chordata; Mammalia; Perissodactyla; Equidae
Source: RefSeq, a predicted model, not a curated record
CUCUUUUAUCUUGUAGCUUGGCGUUUUUGGAGGAACAUAUUCUAUUGAUGUGUCCACCCCACUUCAGCUGUUUUUCUAACUCUGGUUUCCUGGCUCAUAAAGAAGAAACAAUUUGAGGGCGUGGCAUUCCUGAUGACUCUCAGCGGGAUGCCAACUGAUGUCAACUCCCAGGUACAGGGAAUGGGAACUGUGGGUGGAAGACGGCAGAGCCUCUGUCAGCUGUGUCCAAAAUGGCUGUGUGAACCGCAUUCUGACUCCUCGGCUCCCUACCACAUCCCCUGCCCCCGAUCACCAGUCUCUGCCAUUGGGCUUUACUUUCAUUGAUGACCUUGGCAUAUCCAAGAUUAAUGAAGACGAAUCCGCGUCCUUACUACUAAGCAAAGAGCCUCCAAGCAAAUGAUUGUGGACCAGAGAGCUAUCUUCAUAGCCAUAAAAAGUACUUUUCAAAUAAGAGAUGUCAAAUGAGCCAAUUGCGUGCUAGAUACAGGAGACCACUAGUGCUCCCUAAAGUGCUGGGCUUCCUUGCUGUGUUAUUUAUUGAUGAACAUUGGGGAACCAGAGAUGACAAGAAGAAAGGAAGAGCAGGAAGCCAAUAACAUGGCCAGUGCAUUGGAGCUGGCCAACUCCGAGCUAUCACUGAGACUUGGUAAUGAUAUGAAGGGAUGGGCAAUUCCAGGGCUGCACCCCGCACUGGGGGUCUGCUGGAUGGUGCUUUGAGGAUGACCCUAAUCCCAGAUCACACCAAAGUAUUCCAGUUUUGAUGGCAAGUUUUCUAGGUAUCCAAAGUGAUGGCUGCAAUCCACGAUGACAGAGGCUAUGUGAAUAUCAGGGAAAUUUAAGUCUGAGUGGUGGUUUUUUCCCCCGCAAUGUGACUCAACUUCCCUUUCUCUAAACACGUAUUUCAUUUUCCUUUCAUAAUUUAUCCAAUUCCUCUCACAAAAAUUGCUUUGGGUUGCAUUAUAGGAAUAUUUUGGAAUUCCCCCCCAACCCCCGUCUUAUAUUUCUCUUUAAUUGUUUGUGCCUAAAAAAUGGUAUUUUGUUUAAGAGUACAGUAACUGGUCAAGAGGAAAUGUCACUGAAACACCAAGAUCCUCAAUUUGGUUUUGUUUUUUCUUGCUAACUUCUCUGAGAACAAUUUCCCCACAAAGCUACAGUCACGUAAAUCAACAGAGAGCAGAUAUGCGUCCUUAGAAGUUUCAGUCAUUGGAUAGCCUUGGUGAUCAUGAUAUUUCUUUCUCCAGAACACUUGACUCAUUUACCAAUUUCAUUCCCGGUGUGUGUGCUGGAAAAAGCUGCCAAGUGUUACUACCAGUUGGGGUGAUAGGCCAGCUCCCUGCUGGCAGCAUUUAUUUACAGUCAAGAGGACAACACUGAACUAACAUGAACAAGGUCUAUGAAAGGUUCCCAGGAAGGAGUCAGUUGACAGAUGGCAACAUAGACUCAAGGUCCCAUUUUCCACAGGGGUCUCCACAUAUCCAGAGGAGUAUGCCCAGGGCAUCACACAAGUACACACACGACACCUUGAGUUAAUUUCACCCUUGUCUACCCAGCAGUAACUUUAGACUGUGACUUUUUCCUCUUGCAUUUGCAGUAUGCAACUUAGUUUUGAGAAAAUCGGGAAAAGCACCAUCACCUUGGGCUUCAGCUAGCCUCUUGCUUUUUCUUGAUUCUCUCUGUUCCUGCCCAUAAGCCACUCAUCUCAGGUCUGAAUCAAGGCUGGUGAAUGUAUUUUGCAGGAGUUUCUAUGUAUCUAGGGUACAGCUCUUCUUUCAUCAUUACUCACCUUUUCUUUCAUCAUUAUUCACUUUUUCUUUGGUCUGCUUUCAUCCACAUAGGGAUGUCUUGGCUGACAAGGUGGACUCAAGUGAGAAGUUGUGUCUUCUUCCUUGUCUUCUUAGACAUGUGGAAAUCUGGACUAAUUAGACCAUUGAGGAAGUGAUGGGUAAAAACUUCCCACAUCUUUCUUCCUGGAGAGGUAUCUUCAGAUUAUUUCUGGAGACAGAGGAGGCAGGUCUGUUGUGUUUUAAAGAGGGACAUUUAUACGUGUGUAACAAAGAAUGUGUUUUGCUGACUAUUUUUCACUAUAUGAACAAGUGGUCUUGCUGUGGGAUCACUUCCUGAAAUCUUUAAUCAUUGAUUACACAUGAAGAUGUUUUUGCUGCAGACAGAGUGACAGCACUUGUAAAGAUGGGAUGGGAGAACUGAGAUGUUCUGAAAUGAAGAAGUGGUUGCUGUGCCUGGAGCUUGGGGGAAGAGAGGGGAGAGAAGGCCCAAAAGUGGUUUUGAGCCAGGUUGAGAAGGGCUUAAAACCAAGCCAAGCAGUUUGGGAUUUUUGUUGAAGGGUAAAGAGAAGCCUCUGAAAGAUUUUAAGCAGGGACCAGAUUCACAUUUAAGAAAGAUAGUUAUGGCAGCAGGAUGAAGAAUGGCUGUGAGGGGCACAGGUGGUGGGCAAGGAGUUUAAUUAGGAGGCUAUUGAAGUAAUCCACAGAAGAAAUGAUGAGAGUCUGAACCAAGUAUGUUAGGAGAUGAAUUUUAAAGAUAUUAAGAAAGUAGAAUGGCUGCAACUGAUCUCUAUCUUGCUUUACUAAUAGCCAUUCCAUCUUUGCUCUUUGUGGCUAAUGAGAUAUGAGCCAAAUGAAGUGCCUAUGUUGCCUCUUCCCUCUUUAUCUUUCUUUCUGCCUGGAACUUGGGAAUGGUCAUCUUAUAACCACAAUGUGCUCUUAAGGAUGGGAGUCUUGUGAAAAGCAUGGCAGAGAAAAGAGACAGGAGUACAGGGGCCUAAUGACAUGGUGGAUCCAAUGUGCCAGCCUUGGAUGGUCUGCCUCUGAACCUCAUACUCUAGGGAAAAAAAAAAAUCUUUUUUGUUUAAGCCACUGUGAUUUCCAUCCAUUUGUAUCCAGCAGCCAAAAACCAUUCCUAACUGAGACAAAUGUUGACAAACUGGGUAUAGAGGAGGAGCGGAAGGAUUGAGGAUGGACUCUAACUUGUUACUUGACUGAUGGAGUAGAUGAUGGUGCUAAUUGCAAAGAUAAGGAAUGGAAGGGGAAUUUAGGAACGAGUAUGCAUUUCAUUUUGUGCAUGUUGAGUUUGAGGAAUCUCUACAAUGGCCAAUAUAUGUCCAGGAAAUAAUGGGAGGUAGACUUUUGCUAAAGAUAUAUAUCUAGAAAUCAUCACCUUAUAGAUAACAAUUGAAGUCAUGGGAAUGUUUUAGGUCACCCAGGGAGAGCAUAAGAGAAAAGCACCAAUGACAGAGCCCAAGGAAUCCAGUACUUAAGAUUGAUGUGCCCAUGAACAGGACAGGGCAGAAGCAGCUAGAAAGUUAGGGAGAGAGUGGUAUCAAAGAGAUCAAGAACAUUCAGAGGACAGAGUGGUUACUAAUGCCACGGUUUGGAAAUACACAGAAAACAGAAGAGAGAGUUCAGGAAGAAAAAUGGCCAAAGAAUUCCUUCUUUCUACAAAAAAGCUAUUCUCAGAAUGGUCAUUCCAUGGAAGGUGCCUACAAGCGCAAUUUGUGUCAUGACACCACUGCACUUGUGAUUCUUCCGGAGUCUUGUGAUGCCCUGUUAUUUGCCUUGUUUUUUAAAAAACCAUUCCCUCCCCUACCAGUUGAUCUAUCUCCCCAAAUGUACGAAAUGAUAUGUUUUACUUAAGAUCAAAGUGAACACAAAUACAUUAAAUAUUCAUUCUAAGUUAUUUCUUUAAAAAGAGUUUUGGGGGAAUCCCCUGUAUCACACUGAGGUGAAACACAACUGAGAUUGGAUUCUCUGCUCUGUUAACUAAAUACAUCAUUAGAAAAUCUCUUUGAAGGGCUCUGCUAUAAGAAGAAAAAAAGUUUUUAAAGAAGAUUAAACAGGAAAGUAACACAAGGCAGAGGGCAAGAAUUCUUUGGUUUGCUUUGUGUGUUUGUGGUAGUGGCACUGCCAGAACCUCCCCUCCACUGGUGGGAUCCAGGCUCUCACGGACUCUUUGGUCUUUGCUGGAUGCUGAGCUGAGUUGUCAUGGGCUAGAUCUGUCUUUUGUCUCUGAAGUCAAUUAGUGUGAUGUUCAGGGCUGUUUUCCUAAACUUUUAAUUUAUUUUCUUAAACUAAGAAAAGAGGAGUAUGUCUUCUGGGGAAUGUCCUCGGAUUGCAUCAGCCAGGACCUCUGAGGAUCAGCUCUCUCCCUGGUCCAGGUCUCUCAAGGAUGCUCAGAGAAGCUGUUCUAGCUCUGGGCAGCUUCCUGCUCAGAAUGAUUAAAAUAAUUGUUUUUACAGUUAAAGGGCAGUUGAGUGGGAAGCUGUGAGGUGAACUCAUUGCUUUUAGCUCUCUAAUAGUUCUCUCCUUGGGGAACAGGUGAUAGUCCUCAUCUGGAAUAUUUUAAUUGGGAAGAGAUCUUACUUGAUAUCCCCAAAAAGGACCCCAGACACUGCUUCUGUAAGGAGUGUCUUGUCACUUAAGAGUCAUGACUAUUCCUUGACCCAUUAGCCAGCUCUGGGAGAAUCAGCAGCAACAGAAGUGUUGAAAGUCAGUCUGAACAUUUACUGGAAACUUCCUGGGUAUACAAUUUCUCUUCAAGUUGCCACACAAUGACACAUUAGAGAUAUGAUACCUGUUCUCAUGUUGCUUAAGCUCUCGGGGAAUACUUUAUGGUUUGAACUCAUCACUUUUGGCUAAAUAUCUAUAAGCAUAUGCCUAUAUGAGCACAUAAUCCAUCACAUAUAUAGAGAUGCCAUAAAACUGCCUAUCUGGCGGCCACUUCUUCAGCCGGCUCAACUAUCCAGAAAAAAGUCGAGGUGUCUGAGCAGACACAUUAAAAAUAAGCUAUGAUUCUACAGUUCAUGCAUUUUACUUGCAUUGUUCCAAUUCAUUUCCCCCUAUUUCGGAUAUAUUCGAGCUAUCUUUUCCAGAACAUGUCAGAUUAGAGUUGUGGAGAUGGGCUGUCCCAGGCAAUGGCUGUAGACCACCUACGAGGAGAAGUGAUUUCCGAGAACCUAACAAUGAGGCAGUGGUUCUCGAGCUUCUCUGACACACAUUAACAUCAUCUGGGCAUCUUUUAAUAAUUCCUGAACCCAGGCCACAUCCAAGAUGGAUUAAAUCACAAUCUCUAGAAGUGAGACACAGGCAUUGGUAGUUUUGGAAGCUACCUGGGUGAUUCCAAUGUGCAGGCAAGGUUGGGAGUCACUGCAUUGAAGGUUAAGGAAGAACAACACAUGUUUAAUUGUUUGGUAUUCUGGGGCCAUUUCAUGUAGGGAAUUACCUUUCGCAUUUCUAUAAGCAGCCUGUAUCUUCCUUGCGGGACAUGAAGGUGAGGCAAUGUCCUGAACAGGUAGCCGGGAUAGGCUUUCCUUCCCUGGUCGUUGGUAGUCCUGGGAGGCACCACUGUAUUACAAAUAUAACACACAUGAGAGCUUCUUCUUCUGUCUUGCAUGAAAAAGCCGGAAACUUGUGAGCCUUCAACAUGGGGCAUAUUAUAGUCUUCUCUCCUUGGAUAGCCUUCAGAGAGCUGUUCCUUCUCAACUAGUGCAGUGUAGUCUCUAAGAGGCUAUCACCACUUCUGCCAAUGACCAGAGAGGAGAGUGGACACCCCCAGUAGUCAGAGGAUAUCCCACAUGGAUGCCCCCCUCCACCUCUAUUGGACAAAUCUUCUCACUUUCCACAACUUCUCCCUUUUCUUUCUUUCUAUCUUAGCAUCUAGAAACUCCCGCUGCCAUCCCCUGCCCCCUGGGUCUUGCAUUUCCUCUCUAUAGCAACGAUGAAGACUCUGUCCCUUAAUUCAUUCUCGGGUCCUGCACAUUUCACAGCCUCAGGCAUUUGUGAAGUAUCCACCACUAUUCUGCUCUUUCAAGCUUCUGCUGUCACAGCAGAGGAUGGGGUGAGCUCUGCUCCCCUGCAUGGGGACAGGAGGAGACAGAGAAGUCAGGGAUAGAGUGAGGGCCCAGGAUUUCUGUCCUGGUUGUAGGGCUGUGUGGGGAGGAUGCGGGAGGCAAUGGGAGGGGAAAAGUCUCAGUUUACCCUGCCACAAAGACAUGGUUCAACAAAAGAUGCUCACUAGAAAACCCUCUACACUAUAAUGUGAACUUGUAUGACA